This 402-nucleotide ribosomal RNA is filed under the name uncultured bacterium. RNAcentral's name for it is "bacterial SSU rRNA". It matches the Rfam family "Bacterial small subunit ribosomal RNA", at positions 355 to 774 of the family's 1533-position model. The record is from RNAcentral.
UGGGGAAUAUUGGACAAUGGGCGCAAGCCUGAUCCAGCCAUGCCGCGUGAGUGAUGAAGGCCUUAGGGUUGUAAAGCUCUAUCGGCGGGGAAGAUAAUGACGGUACCCGCAGAAGAAGCCCCGGCUAACUUCGUGCCAGCAGCCGCGGUAAUACGAAGGGGGCUAGCGUUGCUCGGAAUCAAUGGGCGGAAAGCGCACGUAGGCGGCUUACUAAGUCAGGGGUGAAAUCCUGGAGCUCAACUCCAGAACUGCCUUUGAUACUGGUGAGCUUGAGUUCGGGAGAGGUGAGUGGAACUGCGAGUGUAGAGGUGAAAUUCGUAGAUAUUCGCAAGAACACCAGUGGCGAAGGCGGCUCACUGGCCCGAUACUGACGCUGAGGUGCGAAAGCGUGGGGAGCAAACA